UCCCGUCUUGAAACACGGACCAAGGAGUCGUCUUCGUAUGCGAGUGUUCGGGUGUCAAACCCCCUUACGGCGUAAUGAAAGUGAACGUGGGUGAGAACCCCUUGCGCGGGGCGCAUCACCGACCGAUCUGAUGUUCUCGGAUGGAUUUGAGUAGGAGCAUACGGGGCCGGACCCGAAAGAAGGUGAACUAUGCCUGUGUAGGGUGAAGCCAGAGGAAACUCUGGUGGAGGCUCGCAGCGGUUCUGACGUGCAAAUCGAUCGUCAAACAUGGGCAUGGGGGCGAAAGACUAAUCGAACCUUCUAGUAGCUGGUUCCCGCCGAAGUUUCCCUCAGGAUAGCAGUGUCGGAUCUCAGUUUUAUGAGGUAAAGCGAAUGAUUAGGGACCCGGGGGCGGUUUUAAGCCUUCAUCCAUUCUCAAACUUUAAAUAUGUAAGAAGCCCUUGUUACUUUGCUGAACGUGGGCGUUCGAAUGCAUCGACACUAGUGGGCCAUUUUUGGUAAGCAGAACUGGCGAUGCGGGAUGAACCGAACGCGAGGUUAAGGUGCCGGAGUGGACGCUCAUCAGACACCACAAAAGGCGUUAGUACAUCUUGACAGCAGGACGGUGGCCAUGGAAGUCGGAAUCCGCUA
RNAcentral lists this ribosomal RNA (630 nucleotides) under Acanalonia sp. MW-2016. RNAcentral's name for it is "eukaryotic LSU rRNA". It matches the Rfam family "Eukaryotic large subunit ribosomal RNA", at positions 647 to 1273 of the family's 3401-position model. The record is from RNAcentral. Lineage: Eukaryota; Metazoa; Arthropoda; Insecta; Hemiptera; Acanaloniidae.